UUGCAUGGAGUCUAUGUCUGGA
RNAcentral lists this microRNA (22 nucleotides) under Physcomitrium patens. RNAcentral's name for it is "ppt-miR538a". Its record names the gene ppt-miR538a. The record is from miRBase by way of RNAcentral. Lineage: Eukaryota; Viridiplantae; Streptophyta; Bryopsida; Funariales; Funariaceae.